UCAAGGCUCAAGGUCAGCGAUGUGUGGGUGUGGUGAACGUCCUGCACAUCCUUCCUUUAAAACCCAGAAAUUAGCUGAGCAAUUAGGAAUUAAUUCCAUGUAAUUAGAGCAAUGAAACUGCACACCCAGGAUGGUGAAAACGACCCGAGAAUUUCUGGCAGUAGCGGGGGGGCUUGUUGGCUGUGAGCAGUGGCAGAAGAGGAAAGUGCUGCUAAGACCAUGAUGUCCCUGGGUGUCGCUAAAGGAGGGCUGAUCCUGCCCACGGACGAGGAUCGCCGCAGGAUCAUCCGGCAGAUGAAGGUUCGCACCACCCUGCGGGGGGACAAGAGCUGGAUCCAGCACCACAACUCCGACUCGGAUGAGGAGAAGAGCAGCCCCCUGUAAGAACAUUUCCUUCUCCUUCCCUUUCCCCAUCAGAAUUCCC
RNAcentral lists this long non-coding RNA (424 nucleotides) under Lonchura striata (white-rumped munia). Its description in RNAcentral is "domestica (Bengalese finch) lncRNA (ENSLSDG00000003459.1)". The record is from RNAcentral. Lineage: Eukaryota; Metazoa; Chordata; Aves; Passeriformes; Estrildidae.